Molecule: ribosomal RNA, 459 nt
Filed under: uncultured bacterium
Lineage: Bacteria
Description: partial 16S ribosomal RNA
Rfam family: Bacterial small subunit ribosomal RNA
Source: RNAcentral
CCUACGGGUGGCAGCAGUGAGGAAUAUUGGUCAAUGGCCGGAAGGCUGAACCAGCCAAGCCGCGUGAAGGACGAAGGUGCCAAGCAUUGUAAACUUCUUUUGUCAAGGGACAAACUCAGGCUCGAGAGCCUGACCGAGGGUACUUGAAGAAAAAGCAUCGGCUAACUCCGUGCCAGCAGCCGCGGUAAUACGGAGGAUGCGAGCGUUAUCCGGAUUUAUUGGGUUUAAAGGGUGCGUAGGCGGAAUAUUAAGUCAGCGGUAAAAGUCCGGGGCUCAACCCCGUCGUGCCGUUGAAACUGGUGGUCUUGAGUGGGCGAGAGGUAUGCGGAAUGCGUGGUGUAGCGGUGAAAUGCAUAGAUAUCACGCAGAACUCCGAUUGCGAAGGCAGCAUACCGGCGCCCAACUGACGCUGAGGCACGAAAGCGUGGGUAUCGAACAGGAUUAGAUACCCUAGUAGUC